GCGCGCUGGUGGAGAGCGGGAGCUUGGGCGAAGAAUGGCUGCUAUUCACGGUGGAGUCUGCAGCAGGACUUGGUGUGCAGCCCAGAGGGUGCUGUUUGGUGGUGCUUGGGAUCCAGCAGGGCACCCCUGAGAGUCUUGGCUAGCAUGGAGUUGACAGUCUACAUACCCUUGCUACUCAAAAUGCGGAGGACUGGCAGCUUCGGCAUCCCCUGGAAGGCGAAUAGAAUCAGGGACAUUCAGCCCUGUCCCAGCGCUGCUGAACUGGAAUCUGUAUUUUAACAAGGGGUACCUCUGACCUCACAGUGUGGCUUUGAGGAGUCAUCGAAUAAGAAAGCGGAUGGUGAAGAGCUGCCAGAGGGGCUGCCUGGGUAAGCGGCCAGGGUACAAGGGAUGGUAAAUAGUAGGCACACAUGCCAUCCCUCCCCACUUCUGAGCCCACGGCAGACAUCACUAGUUGAUCACUGCACUUCCGCUCCCUGAUCGUGAACCUGUCUCAGAGCUCCUCUCAGGCCACAGUGCUCCAGGCAGCCGCUCCCAGUCCAGCACACCUUUCAUCUUUACAUCGUCUGCUGAGAAGCUUCUGCUCCAGAGUCAGGCAUCUCCAGGAAAAGCCAGAGCUUGGGUAAACACGGUAGCAGGAAAUCAGGUGGGGGUGGGAGAGGAGACCCAGCCAGGAUAAAGGGCUCUUAGUACCAAACGGACCAUGGACGGUGUCUGCAGCAUGUAAGAGCCCCUGGAAGCUGGCCAGGCAUGCAGAGCGCGGUCAGAGGAACAGGCACCAGGACAGGGGCUCCUCUUGGCUGAGCCACUGCCCUGGAUCAGGGACUUGCCUCUGCAUCUCAUCCUAUGGGCAUGAAGCCUCUGGGGGGUCUGCACCACUAUUAUCUCCACCGUACAUACAAUGAAACUGAGGCUGGUGGAGGCUAUAGUCAAGGGGGCAUGGAGCUGUCAUCGGGACCCAAGUUUGCCAGACGCAAAAGCUCACAUUCUCCACUCUGCCAUUCAGAAAUAGGGCCUGUUUCCUUGGGCCCUUCUCCAGAGUGGGGCUGCGCCCGGGGGCGACCUGUUCUGGCCCCGGCACGCCGGAGCCGGAAGGCUGGGUCCCUGCCACGGCACGAGGCAAGCAGACCGGGGAGAUUUGCUGGCACUGGUUUGUCUGCUUUUCCAAUCCCUGAGGCAUUUGAGUUUGUGAACCUUGGAACAGGGGACAGAACCCUGGGCGAGAGUCCCUCUCGGCCACUCUCUUUUAUGGCAUAACCCCAGGCAACUCUCUGCCCCUUUCUGGGGCUCAGUUUACCCAUCUAUGACUGAGAGCCUUGUGACUCAAGGUGGAUCUGCAAAGUGCCAGCAUCGGAGCCCCUGGGGAGCUUGUUAGAAGGGCUGAAUCACAGGCCACUGGAUUAGAAUCAGCAUUUUCCCAGGGCCCAGGUCAUCCACAUGCUCACGGAGGUUGUAGAACCAUCCAGUUCACGAGUCCUGGAGUCUCUUGCACACCCAACAACUGAGCAUCCUGCAGAUCACAAAGUCAGCACCUGAGGCUUGGCUAAAGCCCACGCUUGCAGCUCAGGCUGGUCGUUCCAGCCAGGAAGGCUGAGCUGGGAAUGCCAGGUGAGCCCUCGUCGGGGAGGGGGGCGGGCCUGCAGGAGCGACUGUGUGCAGGCCCACAGUGGCCGGGAGAACCCAGCCAGCCAGGCUGCCGCGUGGAGUUCCCAGUCUGCGGCGGGAGGCCAGGCAUACCAACACAGAAGCAACUCAGGACAGC
Leptonychotes weddellii (Weddell seal) is the source of this 1762-nucleotide non-coding RNA. The record is from RefSeq and is a predicted model, not a curated record. Lineage: Eukaryota; Metazoa; Chordata; Mammalia; Carnivora; Phocidae.